UGGGAUUUGAACAAGGCUUCUGAAAAAUAAGAGCUAAAUCACCAGAAAGACUCACCAUUCCUCAACUAUUUUGGUGCAGGAGCACUUGUUUACAAUAACUGAUUAUCUCUGCCACGUCAUCUCCCUGAGGCCAAGAAGAUCAAAUGAGUUUAAAUCAAAUGUCUCAAGCUAGGUUGGCUGGCAACUAUCCAUGAAGCAAAUUACUGGAGAAAGUUUCAUCUAAGAACUCAGAAGAAACACGAUUAUUUUUCCUCCUCUACAUUAGUUUGUAUUAAGCCUCUGUCGUUCAUUCACCACAUAAUGUGUAAUGACAUUGGACUGAUCCCAUGGUGCUUUCCUCCAUCACUUGAUGUGUGUAUAAGAACCCUUAGGCUUCAAGCAGGAGGGAAAAGAAUAUCCUUAGAAGAAGAGAGACAGAGUGAGAGGCGGAGGGGCAGAGAGAGGAGUCACAGAAUCCGAAGCAGGCUCCAGGCUCCGAGCUGUCAGCACAGAACCCGACAUGGGGCUUGAACUCACGGAGUAUAAGAUCAUGACCUGAGCUGAAGUCGGACACCUAACCAACUGAGCCACCCAGGCACCCCCAUACAUUUAACUUUAGUAGUAGAUGUUUCUUUUAAAAGAAAUAAAUUAUUCUGUUUUGGUUGGGUGCCUAAAAUGAGAUCAUUCUUUUCUACCCUAAAGGGUGUAUAUCAUGAACUAGUGUGGAACAGUGAACAUUCUAUGUUUUUGGAGCAAAAGAAGGUAAUUCACAGAGAUUUUUUUAAAAGGUCUUUUUUAAGGUUUUUAGAGAACUUGUUAAAAAACACCCACAACCAUAUUUCAAGUCAUAUUCCCUCUCCUGUCUCUUCUCCCCACAAAAUGCUCACAGACUGCCAAUUUAAAGAAAAAACAUAGUCAAGCCAGAUAAAAAGCAUCCAAAUGAAGAGAAGGUUAAUCGUGGAAGGAGAUGGAGGUGGUCUGGACAAUCUGUUGAUUUCUUCGCAAUAACCGUAUUUAGCCAUCUCUUCCCCAGCCCCCCUGAGGAUGAAAGGUGGCGUUCAUUAGCCCCCAGACUCUAGGUUAUAACAGUGUUCAUCCCCAGUCAUGUAUCUUGCACCUUCAUCAUCAACCUUCUGACCUAAGAGUCUUGGGAGGGGAGCCUGGGAAGGACGCCUUGGGAACUCAAGUUAAGAAAAUAAACAGGAAUGUGAAUAAGAGUGUGAACACUUAGAAAUGGUAAGCAGUAAGCUAGGUCUUUUGUCUUUUCAUCUAACCCAAAUAAAACCAGGUAAGGAUAUGACCGCCAAAGGCAUUUUCAGCCUCAUUUUUGGCUCCUG
This is a long non-coding RNA of Panthera uncia (snow leopard), 1316 nucleotides long. RefSeq lists it as uncharacterized. The transcript is spliced from 4 exons. The record is from RefSeq and is a predicted model, not a curated record. NCBI's taxonomy places the organism in Eukaryota, Metazoa, Chordata, Mammalia, Carnivora, Felidae.